Molecule: ribosomal RNA, 498 nt
Filed under: uncultured bacterium
Lineage: Bacteria
Description: bacterial SSU rRNA
Rfam family: Bacterial small subunit ribosomal RNA
Source: RNAcentral
AAACAUCCUUGAUAUUCACGAAUCGAAUCAAAGUUUCUGCUUCACGCUAUAUCAAGUGCCAACACAUACAGGAACUGAGUACUGAAUGUUGAAUGCCGGAUAGCGGCGGACGGGUGAGUAACGCGUGGGCAACCUGCCUCAUACUGGGGGAUAACACAGGGAAACUUGUGCUAAUACCGCAUAAUAUCAUUAUAGGGCAUCCUGUGAUGAUCAAAGGAGCAAUCCGGUGUGAGAUGGGCCCGCGUCCAAUUAGCUAGUUGGUGGGGUAACGGCCCACCAAGGCGACGAUUGGUAGCCGAACUGAGAGGUUGAUCGGCCACAUUGGGACUGAGACACGGCCCAGACUCCUACGGGAGGCAGCAGUGGGGAAUAUUGCGCAAUGGGGGAAACCCUGAUGCAGCAACGCCGCGUGGAGGAAGAAGGUUUUCGGAUUGUAAACUCCUGUCUUUUGGGACGAUAAUGACGGUACCAAAAGAGGAAGCCACGGCUAACUACGUG